RNAcentral lists this ribosomal RNA (456 nucleotides) under uncultured bacterium. Its description in RNAcentral is "bacterial SSU rRNA". It matches the Rfam family "Bacterial small subunit ribosomal RNA", at positions 340 to 786 of the family's 1533-position model. The record is from RNAcentral.
UACGGAAGGCAGCAGUGGGGAAUAUUGCACAAUGGGCGAAAGCCUGAUGCAGCUAUGCCGCGUGUAUGAAGAAGGCCUUAGGGUUGUAAAGUACUUUCAUCGGGGAGGAAAACAAAACUAAUAAUUUUAUUUCUUGACGUUACCCGAAAAAGAAGCACCGGCUAACUCCGUGCCAGCAGCCGCGGUAAUACGGAGGGUGCUAGCGUUAAUCAGAAUUACUGGGCGUAAAGAGCACGUAGGUGGUUUUUUUAAGUCAGAUGUGAAAUCCCUGGGCUUAACCUAGGAACUGCAUUUUGAAACUGAAAUACUAGAGUAUCGUAGAGGGAGGUAGAAUUCUAGGUGUAGCGGUGAAAUGCGUAGAUAUCUGGAGGAAUACCUGUGGCGAAAGCGGCCUCCUAAACGAAUACUGACACUGAGGUGCGAAAAGCGUGGGGAGCAAAACAGGGAUUAGAUACC